Long non-coding RNA from Galeopterus variegatus (Sunda flying lemur), 771 nucleotides. RefSeq lists it as uncharacterized. The transcript has 3 exons. The record is from RefSeq and is a predicted model, not a curated record. NCBI's taxonomy places the organism in Eukaryota, Metazoa, Chordata, Mammalia, Dermoptera, Cynocephalidae.
ACUGCUACUUACAGCACCGUAUAGCAGCCUUGCUCCUACGUUACACUGCCUUACUCUGCCCUGAAGCACUGGACUGGGGAUGGUCCAUCGGUAACUAUAAACUGAUUCUCAUCAGGAAACUGCACAUUAUCUCACCAUCACUUCAAAGGUCUCAUCAGGCAGAGGUGACGCCAGGAGAUGAUUUAAAGGUGAAAAUGACAAGGUUUCCACCCCUCAAACCUUGCCUUCUUUUCUGACAAUACAAUCUGAGUGAACCCGAUGUCUUAACUGUGGAAAUAGGAUUGGAAGAGAAAAACGUAUUUUUUUUUUAAUCCUGAUAAAGAAGACUGUUGGGAAGCUCUUUUUAAAAAAAUCUUAAACUGUGGCACAGAUGGAUUUUUAAAAGUGUUAGAUCAUUCCAAUGAACGCUAAUAGAGUGCUCUGCUCUUGGCUGGAUUUUUCAGAGAAUGGCAAUGGUCUCUGCGAUGUCCUGGGUCCUGUAUUUGUGGAUAAGUGCUUGUGCAAUGCUCCUCUGCCAUGGAUCCCUUCAGCACACUUUCCAGCAGCACCACCUGCACAGACCAGUUUCAGUGACAAGUUCCCUCUCGCCUGAUUUUUGUUGUUUUUUCUAUACUGAAUUUUUAGUUCUGGAUGCAUUUUGAUUUCUUCGUCUUUCCUUUCAAAGCAUAUUUCUUUCUCUUGCAUGGCCUCGCUCUUCAAUCUGGAUUUUUCUUUUCCUCUGCUUCUCCAGCUUUCACGUUACAGUUUCUCCCAGCUCGAUUGUCCUUACCU